AAGUUGUUCAUUGGCAUCCAUCCAACUUAGCGAACCACUUCGAGCACUCUUAUUGCAUGCAUUAGCACCAUUUGUUGUUUUGGUGGUCUCGACAAUAGCCUGAUAGCAAAGAAGUAAUAACCAAAUAAACAAGCUAGCACUAUAGUUUGAACAAAAUUUGUAUGUGAUUAUGAAAAGAUACAAGCUUGUUUGGAACAGAAUAUUUUUGUCCCUGACAUGCACUAACAUUCUCAAGCAAAGUUUCUCUGUUUUGAAUAGGAUUCUGAUAGCAAGACAACCAGUAGAUACGCAACCAUUGGAGCAACAAAUUUUGAACAUAUUGUAUAUCGUAAUAGAAAUAUAUCUUUGUGCUGUAGAAUAUAUUUCCCCUUGCCGUGCACUGAAAUUCUUGUCCAUGACAUAUCUUCUGCAACAUGAUAAUGACCAUGUAAUAGACAAUAUUCCAUGAUCCUACUUGACCUUAAGAUAGUCUUUGCCACAGAUGUGAACACGAUUAAUUAAGAUUUCAGCUCAAGCAAUCAUAUUUUGAAGUAAUUUCUGCCCCUACAAUCAACAACAAUAACUCUGACCACAUUUACUCCUUAUCAAAUCAAAAUAGCAACUUAUUCAGUUCUAAGUAGGUACUAGGAAUACAUCAAGCAAUUCCUAUUUCAUAGUGAAAACGAUUAACUAAGACAUGAAACCGUUACUCUGAAAUGUAGUCUACUAUUCUGUUCAGAGUGUGUAUAAGAAAAGCAGCAAGUAACAAAAGAAAACUUCAUAUAGCAGCUCUUUCGAUGACCCCAUGUUUUUUUAGGAUUUUUCUUAGCUAGGAACAUUACUAUGAAUAAAGUGCAAUUGUCUUUCAAUACUAGUAGCUUAACUGUCAAUCUGUUUCAGUUGCUUAGAGAAGAUGAACUUGUACUUGUGUGCUAUGGUGCUUAACUUGGUGUUUGCUAGGGGGGAACAGAAGUUCAGGUAUAACACUAUCCACGGAUAGUAAGAGGACCAUAAGGUUAAGGAGGUUUCGUUCAUGCACAAGCAUUAUGGCUAGGCUGAUGAUAUGUUAUUUUCAAGUUGGAAUUGUGAGGAGAUCCCAUGGGCCAUGGCUGAGUGUGUUGCAGAGUAUACAUGUGUUUUCACUAUCGUGCACAUGGUUGUUCACUAACAUUUAUUUUUAGAACAAGUGUGUUGUUGUGUAGACUGGAUUGUAGUUGUGCUGCUGCAGAUCAUGUUCUGAUAUUCAUAGUAAAAUUAAUGUUUUAUUAGGUCAUGACUAGUCGACAAGAUACUUAGUGCAACUUGUCCAUAGGUACGACAAGGAUAACACUUUCUUCUAGUCACUCCAUCGUUUAUUUUCUACAAACGACACCCGGUCAGAUUAAAGUAUAAUAGCAAUAAGAAAAUAACAAGAUCACAAACGUCUGCAAACACAUGAAGAAGAAAAGAAACUAUGCUAGGUGUUCAACCGCAAAAUGUUAGGCAAGAACUAACCCAACUAUACUACCCAACUAGAAUAGGAUAGUCAGAAUUGGAGUUCCAUAAAGGUCUAUGAAGAAUUUGAACUCACCAACACCAAGGUAGUAAUGGUGCAGAACUAGAUUAAAAUAUUGUACGCAUCCACACCUGACACCCUAACAGUUACCAGAUUUAAGCCACCUCUUAUGUCCAGUAAACCUACGAACACCAAAACAAACAAGCGUCAGGGCACUAUAAUGAAUAAAACCUAAUAAGCUAAUGUCAAUCGAGUAGGGAAGGUGUAACCUUAUAGAAAAAGAAUCAGGAAACAACCCCCUCUAUCUGAAGGCCCCAAAAAUUUUAAACCAAUAACAGAGGACAACUAUCAAACACUUGGUGUGCACUAUCAAAUUCACACAAGAGGAGAGUAAUUAGAAGCCAUAGAAGGGACAGAUCUGAACCAAAGGGGGAGGAGGCAAAAUCUUCAAGUCGUACUAGUAUUUACCUUCUGUUUUCAUGAAUCGGGGGUGGUGAUUGAUCUGCUCUCCGUCCCAGUUGCUGAACAAGACAUGCCUCUUGUGCCCUCAACAUCAAUGAAUCGGCUGGGUCAGCUAUGAGGUUCAGGAGGGAAGGCAGGCCAUGAUCGAUCUUCUCAAGAUAAGAUCCUACGAAACGAGGAAGGGAACUGGGGGAUGGGGGAGGUUUCCGAUUUUGAUGGCGCAGUUAUCUCCUCGCGAGACCUGAAUUUGG
This 2187-nucleotide long non-coding RNA is filed under the name Triticum aestivum (bread wheat). RNAcentral describes it as "long non-coding RNA (TAES_LNC027893)". Lineage: Eukaryota; Viridiplantae; Streptophyta; Magnoliopsida; Poales; Poaceae. The record is from RNAcentral.